RNAcentral lists this ribosomal RNA (484 nucleotides) under uncultured bacterium. RNAcentral describes it as "partial 16S ribosomal RNA". It matches the Rfam family "Bacterial small subunit ribosomal RNA", at positions 30 to 507 of the family's 1533-position model. The record is from RNAcentral.
AUUGAACGCUGGCGGCAGGCCUAACACAUGCAAGUCGAGCGGAUGAAGGGAGCUUGCUCCUGGAUUCAGCGGCGGACGGGUGAGUAAUGCCUAGGAAUCUGCCUGGUAGUGGGGGAUAACGUCCGGAAACGGGCGCUAAUACCGCAUACGUCCUGAGGGAGAAAGUGGGGGAUCUUCGGACCUCACGCUAUCAGAUGAGCCUAGGUCGGAUUAGCUAGUUGGUGGGGUAAAGGCCUACCAAGGCGACGAUCCGUAACUGGUCUGCGAGGAUGAUCAGUCACACUGGAACUGAGACACGGUCCAGACUCCUACGGGAGGCAGCAGUGGGGAAUAUUGGACAAUGGGCGAAAGCCUGAUCCAGCCAUGCCGCGUGUGUGAAGAAGGUCUUCGGAUUGUAAAGCACUUUAAGUUGGGAGGAAGGGCAGUAAGUUAAGACCUUGCUGUUUUGACGUUACCAACAGAAUAAGCACCGGCUAACUUCGUG